RNAcentral lists this ribosomal RNA (549 nucleotides) under uncultured Glomus. Its description in RNAcentral is "SSU rRNA". It matches the Rfam family "Eukaryotic small subunit ribosomal RNA", at positions 548 to 1098 of the family's 1831-position model. Lineage: Eukaryota; Fungi; Glomeromycota; Glomeromycetes; Glomerales; Glomeraceae. The record is from RNAcentral.
UUGGAGGGCAAGUCUGGUGCCAGCAGCCGCGGUAAUUCCAGCUCCAAUAGCGUAUAUUAAAGUUGUUGCAGUUAAAAAGCUCGUAGUUGAAUUUCGGGAUCAAUGGGUUGGUCAUGCCCUCGGUAUGUACUGAUUUCAUUGGUUCUCACCUUCUAAGGAACCAUGAUGUCAUUUAUUUGAUGUUGUGGGAAAUUAGGACUGUUACCUUGAAAAAAUUAGAGUGUUUAAAGCAGGCUAACGCUUGAAUACAUUAGCAUGGAAUAAUGAAAUAGGACAUCCGAUUCUAUUUUGUUGGUUUCUAGGAUCGAUGUAAUGAUUAAUAGGGAUAGUUGGGGGCAUUAGUAUUCAAUUGUCAGAGGUGAAAUUCUUGGAUUUAUUGAAGACUAACUAUUGCGAAAGCAUUUGCCAAGGAUGUUUUCAUUAAUCAAGAACGAAAGUUAGGGGAUCGAAGACGAUCAGAUACCGUCGUAGUCUUAACCAUAAACUAUGCCGACUAGGGAUCGGAUGAUGUUGAUUUUUUAAUGACUCAUUCGGCGCCUUACGGGAAAC